Molecule: ribosomal RNA, 468 nt
Filed under: uncultured bacterium
Lineage: Bacteria
Description: partial 16S ribosomal RNA
Rfam family: Bacterial small subunit ribosomal RNA
Source: RNAcentral
GACGAACGCUGGCGGCGUGCUUAACACAUGCAAGUCGAACGGGAAGUCCCUGCUUUUGUGGGGUGCUCUAGUUGCCAACUGGUGAGUAACACUUGAGUAACCUGCCCUUGACUUUGGGAUAACUUCAUGAAACUUGGUCUAAUACCGGAUAGGAUCUCCUGCUUCAUGGUGGGGGUUGGUAAGUUUCGGUGGUUGGUGAUGGACUCGCGUCUUAUCAGCUUGUUGGUGGGGUAGUGUAUUAGCAAGGCUUUGACGGGUAGCCGGCCUGAGAGGGUGACCGGACAAACUAGGACUGAGAUACGGCACAGCCCACUAUCGGACGGAAGAGAGCGGAAUAUUGUAUUGUGGGAGGAACGAUAACCCAGUAAAGCAACGUGGCGGAAGAGAGCAAGCGGGUUGUAAACUGAUUUCCCCUGUGACGAAGCGUGAGUGACAGUAAUGGGUAAAGAAGCACCGGCUAACUCCGUG